Long non-coding RNA from Cebus imitator (Panamanian white-faced capuchin), 444 nucleotides. RefSeq lists it as uncharacterized. The transcript is spliced from 2 exons. The record is from RefSeq and is a predicted model, not a curated record. Lineage: Eukaryota; Metazoa; Chordata; Mammalia; Primates; Cebidae.
GGCGCCAGGCGCCGGGGCGGCGCGGCCGUCGCAGUUCGGCGGGCGCAGUGCGCGUGCGCCCUGGCUCCUGGGGGGCGGGCGGCGUCCGCGGCGAGGGAGCGGGGGUGGGGAGGCGCCGUCUGGCUCGGGCUGGGGCCGGCGGGAGCGCGAACGAGAGACGGCGGCAACCGCGGGCCUGUGGACGGCUGCCCCAGCGGCCAGCAGAAAUUGGAAGAAGAGAAUCAACUAUUUUGUGAAAGUAUUUUGUUCAGUUUAGAAGAUACGGUAUUGUGAAAACAGUGUAGUCUCUGGAGUUAGACCUGGAGUCAGAAUGUAUAUCUAACAUACUAGAAAAAAGAUGCUUGGAAGAAUGGCCUUCCAAGUCAGAAGCAUCUGGGUUGAAAUUGAGCUCCACUCCUUACUGGUCCAAAGCCACAUGACUGAUUCAUCAUGCAGCCUUUUUUU